GUCAUUACAUUCAGUUCAGAUCCGAUACUCGUCCAGAGCAGACAUAGAACUCUCCGCUCUCUCUCUCUUACUUUUAAACUCCAACUCAAAUCUAACCUCCAGAAUGUCCGGACACCCAGCAACCCUUGUCCUUCCCACCGACGGCACAGGAAAGAUCUGAACUCCGUUCCCAACGGAGAUAUCCCACAAUGGGCUCGAGCAGAAACAUAAAGCAACGAACAAGCGAGAGAUGGCGGGGGAAAGAGAGGGGAAAAUAUUUAGUAUUUAUUUAAUUCCAUUUUCAUGUUGGACCCCUCCCUUGCUGUCUAGGGGGGAGGGGGCCAACCUUAAACUCUCUCUCUCACCUCUCACUAGAUUAGUUUUAAUGGCUGGCGACCACUGAAGUACACAGGCUCCUCAAAGAAUCAUGUCAUCAGCUCGAUCAGCUCGAUCAGCUCGAUCAGCUUGAUAAACUUGAUAAAUUAUAAAAAUUAUUAUCAGCUCUUCCCCUGUCCCGUUUAUCUCUUCAACUGGUUAUGACAGACUAAAUCUCUUCAUAUCUGUUCUGCUUAUCAGUCCAUCAGUUCCUUUACCAUCAGCUCACCAGUCUUUCAACAAAUCAAUUCAUCAGCUUUGCUCAGAUUUUUAUCAGCUCAUCGAAAAAUCAGCUCUGCGAGAAGCUUAUCGCCCUUCAAAAUGUCAGCUCUGCUCAUCAGUUCAUCAGCUCAUUAAGAAAACAACUCAACUCAACAAUUAUUCAGCUCAGCUCAUCCUUUUAUCAGCUCAGCUCAUCCUGUUAUCAGCUCAGCUCAUCCUAUUUUAUCAGCUCAUCAGUCUCGGUGGCUCGUCAGCUCCUCGUGCUUCCAUGGUCUUUUCAUUAGUAAAGUUUUAAAACUUUGCAUUUUUAGCCAUAUUUUAGCCAAUUUUAGUCAAUUUUUUGCAAUUUUUUUCCAAUCCAAGAUGAUACUAAUGAGAAGACCAGUUUAGAAUCUCAAAUCUGUUUAUCUAAUAGUUUUAUCAUUUGUAUCUGUUAUUUUUUUAUCCGGCAAAGGGCGAGAUUUUUGUUAGCUCAGAAUUAUUUUGAAUUGAAGUUUAUAAUGCUGGUAGGUUGCGUAUAGUGUAUAGUGUAGUAUAUAUAUAUACGUGACUAUAAACCAGCUGAAGGUAAAGUUCAAUGAACCACUGUUCACUGAAUAGGGGCUAAAACAUAGAACCAAAAAUUAUAAGUGUUAAACAGGAAAAUUGGCCAGCAAUAGCAAAUUUUAAAAAAGCUUUAAAACCAGGAAUAAACUUGUUCUCUGGAGGUGUCAAAUGCAAUGUAAGUUAAAAACCUAACAUUACGCUCAAUCUAAUAUAUAUAUAAAUAUUCUAUAUUAUAUUCUGUAUUUCAAAAAGAAA
Long non-coding RNA from Eurytemora carolleeae, 1377 nucleotides. RefSeq lists it as uncharacterized. Lineage: Eukaryota; Metazoa; Arthropoda; Copepoda; Calanoida; Temoridae. The record is from RefSeq and is a predicted model, not a curated record. The transcript has 2 exons.